CAAUCGGCCCUUUUGAGGGCCAUCAAACGUUCUUUAAUAGAGUUCAU
This is a non-coding RNA of Aedes aegypti (yellow fever mosquito), 47 nucleotides long. The record is from Rfam. Lineage: Eukaryota; Metazoa; Arthropoda; Insecta; Diptera; Culicidae.